Molecule: long non-coding RNA, 463 nt
Organism: Myripristis murdjan (pinecone soldierfish)
Lineage: Eukaryota; Metazoa; Chordata; Actinopteri; Holocentriformes; Holocentridae
Exons: 5
Source: RefSeq, a predicted model, not a curated record
UUUUCUCUCCAUCUCUCUUUCUCUCUCACCUUAGCGGAAACCUCUGGGGCCACAGGAGAGGCUGAAGGAACACCUGCGGCUCAAGAGGGCAGCUCCAGUUCAUUAGCAGCCGUCCUGUGUAGUGUGGGUGUGGCCAUAGUGGGCGCCGUCACUGGAUACUUCACCUAUCAGAAGAAGAAACUCUGCUUCAAAAAUAGAGAUGCCGAUCCAGAAGCAGCCCGCAAAGCUGAUGCAGCAGAGGCCCAGUCAGACCCCCAGGUUCUUAGCAACUUGCUGAACUCCUCCUAGACCGACAGCGAUCACAUGACUGCCUGGACCAACCACAGUCAAGCAAAGGAGUGAUCUCACUGUUAGGCUCUACCAUCUAUAGAGCGAUAUUACUGUGAGGCCCCAAUGUAGGGCUGUGUGUGUGUGUGUGUGUGUGUGUGUGUGUGUGUGUGUGUGUGUGUGUGUGUGUGUGUGC